Molecule: non-coding RNA, 192 nt
Organism: Nicotiana tabacum (common tobacco)
Lineage: Eukaryota; Viridiplantae; Streptophyta; Magnoliopsida; Solanales; Solanaceae
Source: RefSeq, a predicted model, not a curated record
AUCCUUCAAGAUGCCACAGAUGUUGAUACUGGUUUCUGUUCCCGCUGGUUUGUCCGUCGGCCCAGAUAGGCGGCACAAUCAUGUCUGGUAUAUGAAUAGAGGACCAACUUUGAGACUGACAAAGGUAACUCCAGAGGCUAGCAACAUUGUAGUACGGUGACUGGCAACUUUUCAACUGACAACGUGUCAUAA